UACGGAGGGUGCAAGCGUUAAUCGGAAUUACUGGGCGUAAAGCGCACGUAGGCGGUUCGUUAAGUUGGAUGUGAAAUCCCCGGGCUCAACCUGGGAAUGGCAUUUGAGACUGCAUGGCUAGAGUGUGUCAGAGGGGGGUAGAAUUCCACGUGUAGCAGUGAAAUGCGUAGAUAUGUGGAGGAAUACCGAUGGCGAAGGCAGCCCCCUGGGAUAACACUGACGCUCAUGCACGAAAGCGUGGGGAGCAAAC
This 250-nucleotide ribosomal RNA is filed under the name uncultured bacterium. RNAcentral's name for it is "partial 16S ribosomal RNA". It matches the Rfam family "Bacterial small subunit ribosomal RNA", at positions 524 to 773 of the family's 1533-position model. The record is from RNAcentral.